This 458-nucleotide ribosomal RNA is filed under the name uncultured bacterium. RNAcentral describes it as "partial 16S ribosomal RNA". It matches the Rfam family "Bacterial small subunit ribosomal RNA", at positions 338 to 795 of the family's 1533-position model. The record is from RNAcentral.
CCUACGGGUGGCAGCAGUGAGGAAUAUUGGUCAAUGGGCGAGAGCCUGAACCAGCCAAGUCGCGUGAGGGAGUACUGCCCUAUGGGUUGUAAACCUCUUUUGUCGGGGAGCAAAAGCCGGACGUGUCCGGCUGUGAGAGUACCCGAAGAAAAAGCAUCGGCUAACUCCGUGCCAGCAGCCGCGGUAAUACGGAGGAUGCGAGCGUUAUCCGGAUUUAUUGGGUUUAAAGGGUGCGCAGGCGGAUUUUUAAGUCAGCGGUAAAAUCGUGGGGCUCAACCCCAUCCAGCCGUUGAAACUGGGGAUCUAGAGUGUGCGUGAGGUAUGCGGAAUGCGUGGUGUAGCGGUGAAAUGCAUAGAUAUCACGCAGAACCCCGAUUGCGAAGGCAGCAUACCGGUGCACAACUGACGCUCAGGCACGAAAGCGUGGGUAUCGAACAGGAUUAGAUACCCCUGUAGUC